UCAUCUCCGGGGGUAGAGCACUGUUUCGGCUAGGGGGCCAUCCCGGCUUACCAACCCGAUGCAAACUGCGAAUACCGGAGAAUGUUAUCACGGGAGACACACGGCGGGUGCUAACGUCCGUCGUGAAGAGGGAAACAACCCAGACCGCCAGCUAAGGUCCCAAAGUCAUGGUUAAGUGGGAAACGAUGUGGGAAGGCCCAGACAGCCAGGAUGUUGGCUUAGAAGCAGCCAUCAUUUAAAGAAAGCGUAAUAGCUCACUGGUCGAGUCGGCCUGCGCGGAAGAUGUAACGGGGCUAAACCAUGCACCGAAGCUGCGGCAGCGACGCUGAUGCGUUGUUGGGUAGGGGAGCGUUCUGUAAGCCUGUGAAGGUGGCCUGUGAGGGUUGCUGGAGGUAUCAGAAGUGCGAAUGCUGACAUAAGUAACGA
RNAcentral lists this ribosomal RNA (426 nucleotides) under Salmonella enterica subsp. enterica serovar Kentucky. RNAcentral's name for it is "bacterial LSU rRNA". It matches the Rfam family "Bacterial large subunit ribosomal RNA", at positions 890 to 1312 of the family's 2925-position model. Lineage: Bacteria; Pseudomonadati; Pseudomonadota; Gammaproteobacteria; Enterobacterales; Enterobacteriaceae. The record is from RNAcentral.